AGCCAAUCCCAGAAACCCUAUCUCAGUCCGGAUUGGAGUCUGCAACUCGACUCCAUGAAGUCGGAAUCGCUAGUAAUCGCAGAUCAGCAUUGCUGCGGUGAAUACGUUCCCGGGCCUUGUACACACCGCCCGUCACACCAUGGGAGUUUGUUGCACCAGAAGCAGGUAGCUUAACCUUCGGGAGGGCGCUUGCCACGGUGUGGCCGAUGACUGGGGUGAAGUCGUAACAAGGUAGCCGUAUCGGAAGGUGCGGCUGGAUCACCUCCUUU
Molecule: ribosomal RNA, 269 nt
Filed under: Stenotrophomonas maltophilia
Lineage: Bacteria; Pseudomonadati; Pseudomonadota; Gammaproteobacteria; Lysobacterales; Lysobacteraceae
Also listed under: 1 other name
Description: partial 16S ribosomal RNA
Rfam family: Bacterial small subunit ribosomal RNA
Source: RNAcentral